RNAcentral lists this ribosomal RNA (254 nucleotides) under uncultured bacterium. RNAcentral's name for it is "partial 16S ribosomal RNA". It matches the Rfam family "Bacterial small subunit ribosomal RNA", at positions 524 to 776 of the family's 1533-position model. The record is from RNAcentral.
UACGUAGGGCGCAAGCGUUGUCCGGAAUUAUUGGGCGUAAAGAGCUCGUAGGCGGUUUGUCGCGUCUGGUGUGAAAACUCAAGGCUCAACCUUGAGCUUGCAUCGGGUACGGGCAGACUAGAGUGCGGUAGGGGGUGACUGGAAUUCCUGGUGUAGCGGUGGAAUGCGCAGAUAUCAGGAGGAACACCGAUGGCGAAGGCAGGUCACUGGGCCGCAACUGACGCUGAGGAGCGAAAGCAUGGGGAGCGAACAGG